Molecule: ribosomal RNA, 451 nt
Filed under: uncultured bacterium
Lineage: Bacteria
Description: partial 16S ribosomal RNA
Rfam family: Bacterial small subunit ribosomal RNA
Source: RNAcentral
GUAGGGAAUAUUGCGCAAUGGGGGAAACCCUGACGCAGCAACGCCGCGUGAGUGAGGAAGGUCUUCGGAUUGUAAAACUCUUUUAUUAGGGAAAAAUGUCUAGGUGGCUAAUAUCCACUUAGAGUGAUGGUACCUAAGGAAUAAGCACCGGCUAACUUCGUGCCAGCAGCCGCGGUAAUACGAAGGGUGCAAGCGUUGUUCGGAAUCAUUGGGCGUAAAGCGCGCGCAGGCGGGUCAGUAAGUCAGGUGUGAAAUCUCGGAGCUCAACUCCGAAACUGAGCCUGAAACUAUUGGUCUAGAGUAUCGGAGGGGACAGGGGAAUUUCACGUGUAGGGGUAAAAUCCGUAGAGAUGUGAAGGAACACCGGAGGCGAAGGCGCCUGUCUGGACGAUUACUGACGCUGAGGCGCGAAAGCGUGGGGAGCAAACAGGAUUAGAAACCCGGGUAGUCC